UAUGGUCUAGCGGUUAGGAUUC
Molecule: non-coding RNA, 22 nt
Filed under: Mus musculus (house mouse)
Lineage: Eukaryota; Metazoa; Chordata; Mammalia; Rodentia; Muridae
Source: RNAcentral